RNAcentral lists this ribosomal RNA (237 nucleotides) under uncultured bacterium. Its description in RNAcentral is "partial 16S ribosomal RNA". It matches the Rfam family "Bacterial small subunit ribosomal RNA", at positions 15 to 236 of the family's 1533-position model. The record is from RNAcentral.
GAUCCUGGCUCAGGAUGAACGCUGGCGGCGUGCCUAACACAUGCAAGUCGAACAAAGCAAUUGAAGGAAGUUUUCGGAUGGAAUUUAAUUGACUGAGUGGCGGACGGGUGAGUAACGCGUGGAUAACCUGCCUCACACUGGGGGAUAACAGUUAGAAAUGACUGCUAAUACCGCAUAAGCGCACAGUGCCGCAUGGUACGGUGUGAAAAACUCCGGUGGUGUGAGAUGGAUCCGCGU